This 73-nucleotide transfer RNA is filed under the name Sphaerodactylus roosevelti. RNAcentral describes it as "tRNA-Asn". Lineage: Eukaryota; Metazoa; Chordata; Lepidosauria; Squamata; Sphaerodactylidae. The record is from RNAcentral.
UAGGUAGAAGCCCGCUGGAUUGGGCGCUUGGUUGUUAACUAAGGGUUUGCAGGAUCGAGGCCUGCCUGUCUAG